This 263-nucleotide ribosomal RNA is filed under the name uncultured Leptotrichia sp. RNAcentral's name for it is "partial 16S ribosomal RNA". It matches the Rfam family "Bacterial small subunit ribosomal RNA", at positions 94 to 354 of the family's 1533-position model. The record is from RNAcentral. Lineage: Bacteria; Fusobacteriati; Fusobacteriota; Fusobacteriia; Fusobacteriales; Leptotrichiaceae.
CAUGGCGGACGGGUGAGUAACGCGUAAAGAACUUGCCCUUUAGACUGGGAGUAACAGAGGGAAACGUUCUGAUAAUACUGGAUAAGUUAGUAUAUCGCAUGAUAUGCAAAUGAAAGCUACGGCACUAAAGGAGAGCUUUGCGUCCUAUUAGCUAGUUGGUAAGGUAAGAGCUUACCAAGGCGAUGAUAGGUAGCCGGCCUGAGAGGGUGGACGGCCACAAGGGGACUGAGAUACGGCCCUUACUCCUACGGGAGGCAGCAGGG